RNAcentral lists this long non-coding RNA (1160 nucleotides) under Nicotiana benthamiana. RNAcentral's name for it is "long non-coding RNA (NBEN_LNC029160)". The record is from RNAcentral. Lineage: Eukaryota; Viridiplantae; Streptophyta; Magnoliopsida; Solanales; Solanaceae.
GAGAAGCUACAUGAUUUAACUUUGUAUAGGCUUGUACAUUUUUGUGUAUACUCAGUGUAUAUUUUCAGUAUAUCCAUGGUAUACCUUGUAAUUGAGUUGUAACUGGGCUGUGAUGAUUUUGUGUCUGAGCCCACAUGUCAUUAUUUAAUUUUGGGCCGGAUCACCCGACCCGACGCGUCCGUGUGUAACAUGUAUAUAUGUAGGUGAGAUAUUUUUCUCACCUACCGGAUUUCAUUUCUCUCAUUUGUUCUGUAAUAAUAUUUCUCUCUGAUUCCAGAGAGUUCCAAACGCUCUGUCUUCUCUCUACUUUCUCUCUCUACAGUUUUUAUGAUUUCUCGGUCUAAUAUCAAUGUUUACAUGGUAUCAGAGACGACGAUCCGAUUAUGUUUCUCUACAUCUCUUUGUCUUGGUUGAACUCUUUUUGAGAUUUUCUAGGGCUUUUCUGAGACCUUAUGGUCGAUGAUGGCUUUGACCUAGAUUGGAUGUUUUUCUGAGUUUUUCUUCAUGAUAUUUGAGUAUAUUCUCUUCACCCGAACAUUCUGAGAGUUUUUCUGCUGAUUUUGGGUGGUUUCUCGGUGACCUAUCGGCUUCUAGGGUUUGUUUUUCCGAGUUUUUCGUCAUGAUAUUUGAGUAUGUUCUCUUCACCCGAACAUUCUGAGAGCUUUUCUGCUGAUUUUGGGUGGUUUCUCGGUGACCUAUCUGCUUCUACGGUUUCUGGUGGUUUAACCUAGGGUUCUACUGCUUUCCGGUGGCUCGAUUCUCACUCAGUGGACGUUUUGGGUGCCUCUCCGACGUUCCUGACCACAUUUCCAGUAAGGAUUUCCAAGGUUACAGCUAGGGUUUUAUACCUAGGAUUUCUCUGUUGUUUGAAGGCCGAUCUUCUCCGGUCGCGAAGAAGGAGGAUAACUCUGUCCUUAUCUUCGGUAUUGUAUGUGAUUAUCUGACUCUGUAUAUGUGAGCAUCUGGCGUUGUCUGUGAAUACCUGAUUUGGUUAUACUCUGUUUGUUGGUUAUUGUGUGUGAAUACCUGUUUUGGUUAUACUGUGUUUGUUAAAAAGUUGUUCUUUUAAGUCGGUUCAUUGACUAUGGCUUCUAACGCAAAUACUGGUGCCUCCCCUUCUGUAGACUCUUCCAGUCCCCUUUUUGUAUAUUCUUCUGAUG